RNAcentral lists this ribosomal RNA (619 nucleotides) under Salmonella enterica. RNAcentral's name for it is "partial 23S ribosomal RNA". The record is from RNAcentral. Lineage: Bacteria; Pseudomonadati; Pseudomonadota; Gammaproteobacteria; Enterobacterales; Enterobacteriaceae.
GUGUGACUGCGUACCUUUUGUAUAAUGGGUCAGCGACUUAUAUUCUGUAGCAAGGUUAACCGMAUAGGGGAGCCGSAGGGAAACCGAGUCUUAAUUGGGCGUUAAGUUGCAGGGUAUAGACCCGAAACCCGGUGAUCUAGCCAUGGGCAGGUUGAAGGUUGGGUAACACUAACUGGAGGACCGAACCGACUAAUGUUGAAAAAUUAGCGGAUGACCUGUGGCUGGGGGUGAAAGGCCAAUCAAACCGGGAGAUAGCUGGUUCUCCCCGAAAGCUAUUUAGGUAGCGCCUCGUGAAUUCAUCUCCGGGGGUAGAGCACUGUUUCGGCUAGGGGGCCAUCCCGGCUUACCAACCCGAUGCAAACUGCGAAUACCGGAGAAUGUUAUCACGGGAGACACACGGCGGGUGCUAACGUCCGUCGUGAAGAGGGAAACAACCCAGACCGCCAGCUAAGGUCCCAAAGUCAUGGUUAAGUGGGAAACGAUGUGGGAAGGCCCAGACAGCCAGGAUGUUGGCUUAGAAGCAGCCAUCAUUUAAAGAAAGCGUAAUAGCUCACUGGUCGAGUCGGCCUGCGCGGAAGAUGUAACGGGGCUAAACCAUGCACCGAAGCUGCGGCAGCGA